Molecule: Y RNA, 90 nt
Filed under: Propithecus coquereli (Coquerel's sifaka)
Lineage: Eukaryota; Metazoa; Chordata; Mammalia; Primates; Indriidae
Description: Y RNA (ENSPCOG00000002555.1)
Rfam family: Y RNA
About the family: Y RNAs are components of the Ro ribonucleoprotein particle (Ro RNP), in association with Ro60 and La proteins.
Source: RNAcentral
GAGAUCACAGUUGUUCACAGUCAGUUACAGAUUGAACUCGUUGUUCUACUACUUUCCCCUCUCCUCACUGCUGCACUUGACUAGUCUUAA